UAGUGUAAUGGUUAGCACAUUUGCUUUACAUACAAAAGGUCCUGGGUUUGCGCCCCAG
Molecule: transfer RNA, 58 nt
Filed under: Pteropus alecto (black flying fox)
Lineage: Eukaryota; Metazoa; Chordata; Mammalia; Chiroptera; Pteropodidae
Rfam family: tRNA
About the family: Transfer RNA (tRNA) molecules are approximately 80 nucleotides in length.
Source: Rfam by way of RNAcentral